This 380-nucleotide unclassified non-coding RNA is filed under the name Hevea brasiliensis (rubber tree). The record is from RNAcentral. Lineage: Eukaryota; Viridiplantae; Streptophyta; Magnoliopsida; Malpighiales; Euphorbiaceae.
GGGUGUUGCAUUUUGCGAAAGACAGUGAACCAGUUGAUGAGAUAUCUCUGGCCAAGCUUAAAGAAUGUCUAAAUAGAGUCCCUUCUGUUAAAACCGAUUGGGUUCUCAAGCGAAAAAUUUCUGAUACAGGAGCAGGUUGUAAGUUGAACACAAAGGCCAGUGGCAAAUGCAAUUUGGAGGAAGAAAAGACAUCAAAAAACUCCUCUCACUCACAUCAGCAGAAAUCUGAAUUUAUCUUGGAUGGAAGUGUCAUUGCGCUCGAAAAAGAUUCCAUGUUUAUUGAACCAAUAUCAUCUUGUAAUAACCCUCCUGAUAUUCAGUCUAACAUGAAACCAUUGAACAAUAUCAGCGACCAAAUUACUGGAGAAUUGAGAAACGAG